GACGAGAGUCGCAGAUACCAGGUGGCUGCAACUGUUUAUUAAAAACACAGCACUGUGCAAAAUCGUAAGAUGACGUAUACGGUGUGACGCCUGCCCGGUGCCGGAAGGUUAAUUGAUGGGGUUAGCGUAAGCGAAGCUCUUGAUCGAAGCCCCGGUAAACGGCGGCCGUAACUAUAACGGUCCUAAGGUAGCGAAAUUCCUUGUCGGGUAAGUUCCGACCUGCACGAAUGGCGUAAUGAUGGCCACGCUGUCUCCACCCGAGACUCAGUGAAAUUGAAAUCGCUGUGAAGAUGCAGUGUACCCGCGGCUAGACGGAAAGACCCCGUGAACCUUUACUACAGCUUGGCACUGAACAUUGAACCUACAUGUGUAGGAUAGGUGGGAGGCUUUGAAGACGUGACGCCAGUUGCGUUGGAGCCGUCCUUGAAAUACCACCCUUGUAUGUUUGAUGUUCUAACGUUGGCCCCUAAUCGGGGUUGCGGACAGUGCCUGGUGGGUAGUUUGACUGGGGCGGUCUCCUCCCAAAGAGUAACGGAGGAGCACGAAGGUGGGCUAAUCACGGUUGGACAUCGUGAGGUUAGUGCAAUGGCAUAAGCCCGCUUAACUGCGAGAAUGACGGUUCGAGCAGGUGCGAAAGCAGGUCAUAGUGAUCCGGUGGUUCUGAAUGGAAGGGCCAUCGCUCAACGGAUAAAAGGUACUCCGGGGAUAACAGGCUGAUACCGCCCAAGAGUUCAUAUCGACGGCGGUGUUUGGCACCUCGAUGUCGGCUCAUCACAUCCUGGGGCUGAAGUCGGUCCCAAGGGUAUGGCUGUUCGCCAUUUAAAGUGGUACGCGAGCUGGGUUUAGAACGUCGUGAGACAGUUCGGUCCCUAUCUGCCGUGGGCGUUGGAAGAUUGAAGGGGGCUGCUCCUAGUACGAGAGGACCGGAGUGGACGAACCUCUGGUGUUCGGGUUGUGUCGCCAGACGCAUUGCCCGGUAGCUAAGUUCGGAAUCGAUAACCGCUGAAAGCAUCUAAGCGGGAAGCGAGCCCUGAGAUGAGUCUUCCCUGAUACUUUAAGUAUCCUGAAGGGUUGUUCGAGACUAGAACGUUGAUAGGCAGGGUGUGUAAGCGCUGUGAGGCGUUGAGCUAACCUGUACUAAUUGCCCGUGAGGCUUAACCAUACAACACCCAAAGGGUUUUG
This 1182-nucleotide ribosomal RNA is filed under the name Vibrio vulnificus. RNAcentral's name for it is "partial 23S ribosomal RNA". It matches the Rfam family "Bacterial large subunit ribosomal RNA", at positions 1769 to 2925 of the family's 2925-position model. Lineage: Bacteria; Pseudomonadati; Pseudomonadota; Gammaproteobacteria; Vibrionales; Vibrionaceae. The record is from RNAcentral.